GAUGAACGCUGGCGGCGUGCCUAAUACAUGCAAGUCGAGCGAACAGAUAAGGAGCUUGCUCCUUUGACGUUAGCGGCGGACGGGUGAGUAACACGUGGGUAACCUACCUAUAAGACUGGGAUAACUUCGGGAAACCGGAGCUAAUACCGGAUAACAUUUUGAACCGCAUGGUUCUAAAGUGAAAGACGGUUUUGCUAUCACUUAUAGAUGGACCCGCGCCGCAUUAGCUAGUUGGUAAGGUAACGGCUUACCAAGGCGACGAUACGUAGCCGACCUGAGAGGGUGAUCGGCCACACUGGAACUGAGACACGGUCCAGACUCCUACGGGAGGCAGCAGUAGGGAAUCUUCCGCAAUGGGCGAAAGCCUGACGGAGCAACGCCGCGUGAGUGAUGAAGGUCUUCGGCUCGUAAAACUCUGUUAUUAGGGAAGAACAAAUGUGUAAGUAACUGUGCACGUCUUGACGGUACCUAAUCAGAAAGCCACGGCUAACUACGUG
RNAcentral lists this ribosomal RNA (497 nucleotides) under uncultured bacterium. Its description in RNAcentral is "partial 16S ribosomal RNA". It matches the Rfam family "Bacterial small subunit ribosomal RNA", at positions 28 to 507 of the family's 1533-position model. The record is from RNAcentral.